Molecule: ribosomal RNA, 409 nt
Filed under: uncultured bacterium
Lineage: Bacteria
Description: bacterial SSU rRNA
Rfam family: Bacterial small subunit ribosomal RNA
Source: RNAcentral
UCGAACGCUGCAGCAAUGCAGAGUGGCAGACGGGUGAGUAACGCGUGGGAACCUUCCCAGUGGUACGGAAUAGCCCAGGGAAACUUGGGGUAAUACCGUAUACGCCCCUAGGGGGAAAGAUUUAUCGCCAUUGGAUGGGCCCGCGUCGGAUUAGCUAGUUGGUGAGGUAACGGCUCACCAAGGCGACGAUCCGUAGCUGGUCUGAGAGGAUGAUCAGCCACACUGGGACUGAGACACGGCCCAGACUCCUACGGGAGGCAGCAGUGGGGAAUAUUGGACAAUGGGCGCAAGCCUGAUCCAGCCAUGCCGCGUGAGUGACGAAGGCCUUAGGGUUGUAAAGCUCUUUUGGCGGGGACGAUAAUGACGGUAUCUCGCAGAAUAAGCCUCCGCGCCAACUUCGUGCCAGCAU